This 466-nucleotide ribosomal RNA is filed under the name uncultured cyanobacterium. Its description in RNAcentral is "bacterial SSU rRNA". It matches the Rfam family "Bacterial small subunit ribosomal RNA", at positions 341 to 810 of the family's 1533-position model. Lineage: Bacteria; Bacillati; Cyanobacteriota. The record is from RNAcentral.
AUUGUAUCCACGAUUGGGGAAUUUUCCGCAAUGGGCGAAAGCCUGACGGAGCAAGACCGCGUGGGGGAAGAAGGCUCUUGGGUUGUAAACCCCUUUUCUCUGGGAAGAAAGUUGUGCAAGCAACCUGACGGUACCAGAGGAAUCAGCAUCGGCUAACUCCGUGCCAGCAGCCGCGGUAAGACGGAGGAUGCAAGCGUUAUCCGGAAUGAUUGGGCGUAAAGCGUCCGCAGGUGGCAGUUCAAGUCUGCUGUCAAAGACCGGGGCUUAACUUCGGAAAGGCAGUGGAAACUGAACAGCUAGAGUAUGGUAGGGGCAGAGGGAAUUCCUGGUGUAGCGGUGAAAUGCGUAGAGAUCGGGAAGAACAUCGGUGGCGAAAGCGCUCUACUGGACGGCAACUGACACUCAGGGACGAAAGCUAGGGGAGCGAAAGGGAUUAGAUACCCCAGUAGUCAAUCGUGGAUACAAU